Molecule: small RNA, 1617 nt
Filed under: Pan troglodytes (chimpanzee)
Lineage: Eukaryota; Metazoa; Chordata; Mammalia; Primates; Hominidae
Description: processed transcript
Source: RNAcentral
AAAGUUGGGUUCAGUUGUGUUAGUCUGUAUUCUGUUGGUGUAUACCAGAAUACUUGAAACUGGGUAAUUCAUACAUUUUCUACAGUUCUAGAGGCUGAGAAGUCCAAGGUGGAGGAGCCACAUCUGGCCUUGGACCUCCAGUCUCGGAUACUGAAGCGAGUUCCACUGGAGCAACCAGAAAUGAUUCCCUCCCAGAAGCAACUGGCAGCCUCUAUCUGCAUCCAAUUUGCAGAGCACUACCUGGCAGAGAAAGAGUAUGACAAGGCGGUACGGUCUUAUAAGGAUGUCUUCUCCUACUUGCCAACUGACAAUAAGGUGAUGCUGGAGCUGGCGCAGCUCUACCUGCUCCAGGGGCACCUGGACCUGUGUGAGCAGCACUGUGCCAUCCUCCUGCAGACUGAGCAGAACCAUGAGACCGCUUCUGUGUUGAUGGCUGACCUGAUGUUUAGAAAACAGAAACAUGAAGCGGCCAUCAAUCUUUACCACCAAGUCUUGGAGAAAGCGCCAGACAAUUUUUUGGUAUUGAAUAAAUUAAUCGAUCUGCUAAGAAGAAGUGGUAAACUUGAAGACAUUCCUGCCUUCUUUGAAUUGGCCAAGAAGGUGUCUAGCCGGGUGCCUUUGGAACCAGGGUUCAAUUACUGCAGAGGUAUCUACUGCUGGCACAUAGGGCAGCCCAACGAAGCCUUAAAGUUCCUGAACAAGGCACGCAAGGACAGCACUUGGGGCCAGAGCGCCAUCUACCACAUGGUGCAGAUCUGUCUGAAUCCAGACAACGAGGUUGUGGGCGGAGAGGCUUUUGAGAACCAGGGGGCUGAGAGCAACUACAUGGAGAAGAAGGAGUUGGAGCAGCAGGGUGUGAGCACUGCCGAGAAACUGCUGCGUGAGUUUUACCCACAUUCAGACUCCAGCCAGACCCAGCUGCGGCUGCUGCAGGGCCUCUGCCGGCUGGCCACCAGGGAGAAGGCUAACAUGGAGGCUGCGCUGGGCAGCUUCAUCCAGAUAGCACAGGUUGAGAAGGACAGCGUCCCUGCCCUGCUGGCCUUGGCACAAGCCUACGUGUUCCUGAAGCAGAUCCCCAAGGCGCGUAUGCAGUUGAAGCGCCUGGCCAAGACCCCCUGGGUGCUGAGUGAGGCUGAGGACCUGGAGAAGAGCUGGCUCCUGCUGGCCGACAUUUACUGCCAGGGCAGCAAGUUCGACCUUGCCUUAGAACUGCUGCGGCGCUGUGUGCAAUACAACAAGUCCUGCUACAAGGCCUAUGAGUACAUGGGCUUCAUCAUGGAGAAGGAGCAGUCCUACAAGGAUGCAGUCACCAACUACAAACUGGCCUGGAAGUACAGUCAUCACGCCAACCCUGCCAUUGGCUUCAAACUUGCUUUCAACUACCUGAAGGACAAGAAAUUUGUGGAGGCCAUCGAAAUCUGCAACGAUGUCCUCAGGGAGCACCCCGACUACCCCAAGAUCAGGGAGGAAAUUUUGGAAAAGGCCCGAAGGUCCCUGAGGCCCUAGCUGGGGUCAAGGGGCCUGGACCAGUAGAAGCCAUCAACCUACUGAAGUUGUGUGGAGGGAUGGAAAGUGGGUCAGUGGAGAAGGGAGUCAGAAAAUGACACAUUCUUCCCC